GAUGAACGCUGGCGGCGUGCUUAAUACAUGCAAGUCGAACGAAGCACCUUGGACAGAAUCCUUCGGGAGGAAGACCAUUGUGACUGAGUGGCGGACGGGUGAGUAACGCGUGGGUAACCUGCCUUGUACAGGGGGAUAACAGUUGGAAACGACUGCUAAUACCGCAUAAGCGCACAGUACCGCAUGGUACGGUGUGAAAAAACUCCGGUGGUACAAGAUGGGCCCGCGUCUGAUUAGCUGGUUGGUGAGGUAACGGCCCACCAAGGCGACGAUCAGUAGCCGACUUGAGAGAGUGAUCGGCCACAUUGGGACUGAGACACGGCCCAAACUCCUACGGGAGGCAGCAGUAGGGAAUAUUGCACAAUGGGGGAAACCCUGAUGCAGCGACGCCGCGUGAAGGAAGAAGUAUUUCGGUAUGUAAACUUCUAUCAGCAAGGAAGAAAAUGACGGUACA
This 454-nucleotide ribosomal RNA is filed under the name uncultured bacterium. RNAcentral describes it as "bacterial SSU rRNA". It matches the Rfam family "Bacterial small subunit ribosomal RNA", at positions 28 to 461 of the family's 1533-position model. The record is from RNAcentral.